GACGAACGCUGGCGGCGUGCCUAAUACAUGCAAGUUGAGCGAUGAAGAUUGGUGCUUGCACCAAUUUGAAGAGCAGCGAACGGGUGAGUAACGCGUGGGGAAUCUGCCUUUGAGCGGGGGACAACAUUUGGAAACGAAUGCUAAUACCGCAUAACAACUUUAAACAUAAGUUUUAAGUUUGAAAGAUGCAAUUGCAUCACUCAAAGAUGAUCCCGCGUUGUAUUAGCUAGUUGGUGAGGUAAAGGCUCACCAAGGCGAUGAUACAUAGCCGACCUGAGAGGGUGAUCGGCCACAUUGGGACUGAGACACGGCCCAAACUGCUACGGGAGGCAGCAGUAGGGAAUCUUCGGCAAUGGACGAAAGUCUGACCGAGCAACGCCGCGUGAGUGAAGAAGGGUUUCGGAUCGUAAAACUCUGUUGGUAGAGAAGAACGUUGGUGAGAGUGGAAAGCUCAUCAAGUGACGGUAACUACACAGAAAGGGACGGCUAACUACGUG
This 497-nucleotide ribosomal RNA is filed under the name uncultured bacterium. Its description in RNAcentral is "partial 16S ribosomal RNA". It matches the Rfam family "Bacterial small subunit ribosomal RNA", at positions 28 to 507 of the family's 1533-position model. The record is from RNAcentral.